AUACGGAGGGUCCAAGCGUUAUUCGGAUUCAUUGGGUUUAAAGGGUCCGCAGGCGGGAAAAUAAGUCGGUGGUGAAAGCCUGCAGCUCAACUGUAGAACUGCCAUUGAAACUGUUUUUCUUGAGUAUAGAUGAAGUGGGCGGAAUAUAUCAUGUAGCGGUGAAAUGCAUAGAUAUGAUAUAGAACACCGAUUGCGAAGGCAGCUCACUAAACUAUUACUGACGCUCAGGGACGAAAGCGUGGGGAGCGAACAGGAUUAGAAACCCUAGUAGUCC
RNAcentral lists this ribosomal RNA (274 nucleotides) under uncultured bacterium. RNAcentral's name for it is "partial 16S ribosomal RNA". It matches the Rfam family "Bacterial small subunit ribosomal RNA", at positions 523 to 796 of the family's 1533-position model. The record is from RNAcentral.